Molecule: RNA transcript, 1362 nt
Organism: Perognathus longimembris pacificus (Pacific pocket mouse)
Lineage: Eukaryota; Metazoa; Chordata; Mammalia; Rodentia; Heteromyidae
Gene: Hras
Gene name: HRas proto-oncogene, GTPase
Exons: 7
Source: RefSeq, a predicted model, not a curated record
GCGGCUCGCGCCUGGCGCCCGCAGCCCUAGCCGCACCCGCCGCGGACGGAGCCCAUGCGCGGGCCCAGCCGGCGCCCGCCUGCGCCUCCGCCCUGCCCCGGCCCCGGCCUCCGGGGCCGUCGCGCUAGUGAACGGUGGGGCAGGGGCCCCCAGAGUGCUGGGAGUGGCAGCCCCUUGAAGAGCAAUGACGGAGUAUAAACUGGUGGUGGUGGGUGCCGGAGGCGUGGGGAAAAGUGCCCUAACCAUCCAGCUGAUCCAGAACCACUUUGUGGACGAGUAUGACCCAACUAUAGAGGACUCCUACCGGAAGCAGGUGGUCAUUGAUGGGGAGACAUGCCUGCUGGACAUCUUGGAUACAGCAGGCCAGGAGGAGUACAGUGCCAUGCGGGACCAGUACAUGCGCACAGGGGAGGGCUUCCUCUGUGUAUUCGCCAUCAACAACACCAAGUCCUUUGAAGACAUCCAUCAGUAUAGGGAGCAGAUCAAGCGAGUGAAAGAUUCAGAUGAUGUGCCAAUGGUGCUGGUGGGGAACAAGUGUGACCUGGCCGCACGCACUGUUGAGUCUCGGCAGGCUCAGGACCUUGCCAGAAGCUAUGGCAUCCCCUACAUCGAGACAUCUGCCAAGACCCGGCAGGGUGUGGAAGAUGCCUUCUAUACGCUUGUGCGUGAGAUUCGGCAGCAUAAGCUGAGGAAGCUAAAUCCACCUGAUGAGAGUGGCCCAGGCUGCAUGAGCUGCAAGUGUGUGCUCUCUUGACGCCAGGGUCCUCAUGUGACUGAGCUCAAAAUAGGAAAAGUGUAGACCCAAGCCAAGAUCCCUGACCAGGUGAGCUUGCCCCGUGGCCACAGGACACACCUUCCUUCCUCUGGUCACAGACCGUCAAGAUCCAUGCAGGAUGGGGCCUCAUGAGUAUGAGAGCCAGCCUCAAGGUGCAACAAAUAGACAAGGACAGGACUGCACAGGGUGCAAGUUCUUGGAGAUUCACUGACACAGCCUGUGUUGGGGCAGCAGAAAUACAGAAAACCCCAUGAUUUUGGUCAAAGGAGGGGCUUGUGUAUUAAGGGGCCAGAAGGAGCCCAUUCCUCCAGAAAUAUACCUGGCUUAUAUUAAUAACACAGCCAGGGCGCCUGUGGAGCAAGCAGUGUUCACAUACCACCUUAAUGUUUUGUUAGUUUACAAUCUGCUGAGAAGCUGUAAGGUAAAUGCAGAGCAGGGUAGGGUUAUACAGGGCAUUCAUGGUGGUUAUGUCUCAGGAUGGCUGUAGUUGGCUAGAACCAUACACCAUUUCCUCCCCCAACCACCUAAGUGGGGGGGGGGGGGUUACAUAUAGUUGGGUUAUAUGAAAUGUUUUGUGUUACAUUUUU